GAUGAACGCUGGCGGCGUGCUUAACACAUGCAAGUCGAACGAAAAGUCCCUGCGUGCCCCUUACUCCAGUGGCCAACGGGUGAGUAACCCGUCGGUGGUCUACCCCGCACUUCGCCUUAAGCCUCGGAGAGUGUGUCUAAUACCGGCGAGUGUCCAUAUUGAAUGUGAUGGUUGCAAAGUUUUUUCCGUGUAGGAUGAGCCCGCUGCCUAUCAGCGUGCUGGUGGGGUAAUGGCCUACCGACGCGGCGACGGGUAGCCGGACUGAGAGGGUGUACGGCCACGUUGAGACUGAGAUACGGCCCCGACUCCUACGGGUGGGAGAAGUGGGAAAGAUGGAAAGAGGGGAGCAAGGGUGAUGCAGCGGCGCCGCGGGGGGGAUGACGGCGUUCGGGUUGGAAACGCAAUGCGCUAGGAACGAAGCAUAUUGUGACGGUACCUAAAUAAGAAGCCCCGGCUAACUACGUG
Molecule: ribosomal RNA, 465 nt
Filed under: uncultured bacterium
Lineage: Bacteria
Description: partial 16S ribosomal RNA
Rfam family: Bacterial small subunit ribosomal RNA
Source: RNAcentral